GCCAUGUUAGGUAGGCGGCCAACUGCGUUUGUGGUGAUGGGCGUCAGAAAAAGACUCCUUUUUCUCCGUGCGUUUUUCUUUCCAGUGCUCUAUGAUUAAGUGUCGACUGUCCAACACGCAAGAGGGGGCGGCCACACCAUGGCCUCGCAGGUCGCAGCUAUUUAAUCCCGACGCAUCGUCAAGCCAAGAGUCAGACACGCUCUUGAGAUUGAAACCAUGGCGAGGCUGGCUGCCGGCCGGUUGCUGGUGAUCCUGCUCGCUCUCCAUCUCCUCGUCGCGUCCGUUCAUGCAGCUCGUUUCACAAGGGGCUUCAGAGCGAGGAUGGUUCAGGCUCCAGCGUUAGAGGGCGCUGAAGAUGCAGCAGAGGACAACUGGAGAAGUAACACAUUGGUAGAAGAUGUGUUUGGAAGGAUGGCUUUGCAGGUAACUGACUACCCUGGUUCAGGCCCGAAUGAUCGUCACACGCCCAAAGCCCCGGGCCCAUGAUCAAUGACAAAGACAAAUCGCCAGCUAUUGCUGAACCGUGAUGAUGUGUACAGAGAUUAGAAAACUCAUCAUCGGUUGUCUAUCAGCUAGUAAAAUAGUAGCAGCCUUCAAGUGUAAAUUUGUAGCGUGAACUUUUCGUUAAGAUUUGUAGCCUGACACCUGCCUGAAUUCUUGCGUAGUAGCAUCACAGUCCAAGGAACUACAUAGAAAGCUUAGUAUGCUCUCUAUUUGAGAGCAGGGUUCGAUGAAUAUUCUGCUACUUAGAUUAAGAAUUGUAUGAUUGAAGUAUCUGUAAAUUCUCUGGAUAGACAGGUACACACGGAACUUUGAACUUUCAGACCUUCCACAGUACCUGAUCAGUUGUUCAGUUUUCUCAAA
Long non-coding RNA from Panicum virgatum (switchgrass), 864 nucleotides. RefSeq lists it as uncharacterized. The transcript has 3 exons. The record is from RefSeq and is a predicted model, not a curated record. NCBI's taxonomy places the organism in Eukaryota, Viridiplantae, Streptophyta, Magnoliopsida, Poales, Poaceae.